GUCCACGCCGUAAACUAUGGAUGCUAGCUGUAAGCCGUAUCGACCCGGCUUGUAGCGAAGCUAACGCGUUAAGCAUCCCGCCUGUGGAGUACGGUCGCAAGACUAAAACAUAAAGGAAUUGACGGGGACCCGCACAAGCGGUGGAGCGUGUUGUUUAAUUCGAUGGUAAGCGAAGAACCUUACCCAGGCUUGACAUCCUGAGAAGGUCUCCGAAAGGAGACUGUGCCUUGGGAAUUCAGUGACAGGUGAUGCAUGGCCGUCGU
Molecule: ribosomal RNA, 263 nt
Filed under: uncultured bacterium
Lineage: Bacteria
Description: partial 16S ribosomal RNA
Rfam family: Bacterial small subunit ribosomal RNA
Source: RNAcentral